RNAcentral lists this ribosomal RNA (456 nucleotides) under uncultured bacterium. Its description in RNAcentral is "bacterial SSU rRNA". It matches the Rfam family "Bacterial small subunit ribosomal RNA", at positions 340 to 786 of the family's 1533-position model. The record is from RNAcentral.
UACGGAAGGCAGCAGUGGGGAAUAUUGCACAAUGGGCGAAAGCCUGAUGCAGCUAUGCCGCGUGUAUGAAGAAGGCCUUAGGGUUGUAAAGUACUUUCAUCGGGGAGGAAAAACAAAACUAAUAAUUUUAUUUCUUGACGUUACCCGAAAAAGAAGCACCGGCUAACUCCGUGCCAGCAGCCGCGGUAAUACGGAGGGUGCUAGCGUUAAUCAGAAUUACUGGGCGUAAAGAGCACGUAGGUGGUUUUUUAAGUCAGAUGUGAAAUCCCCUGGGCUUAACCUAGGAACUGCAUUUUGAAAACUGAAAUACUAGAGUAUCGUAGAGGGAGGUAGAAUUCUAGGUGUAGCGGUGAAAUGCGUAGAUAUCUGGAGGAAUACCUGUGGCGAAAGCGGCCUCCUAAACGAAUACUGACACUGAGGUGCGAAAGCGUGGGGAGCAAACAGGGAUUAGAUACC